This 301-nucleotide ribosomal RNA is filed under the name uncultured bacterium. RNAcentral describes it as "partial 16S ribosomal RNA". It matches the Rfam family "Bacterial small subunit ribosomal RNA", at positions 509 to 809 of the family's 1533-position model. The record is from RNAcentral.
CAGUAGCCGCGGUAAUACGGAGGGUGCAAGCGUUAAUCGGAAUUACUGGGCGUAAAGCGCACGCAGGCGGUCUGACAAGUCAGAUGUGAAAUCCCCGGGCUUAACCUGGGAACUGCAUUUGAAACUGUCAGGCUGGAGUCUUGUAGAGGGGGGUGGAAUUCCAGGUGUAGCGGUGAAAUGCGUAGAGAUCUGGAGGAAUACCGGUGGCGAAGGCGGCCCCCUGGACAAAGACUGACGCUCAGGUGCGAAAGCGUGGGGAGCAAACAGGAUUAGAUACCCCGGUAGUCCUGUCUCUUAUACA